UACAGAGGCCACAAGCGUUAGGCGGAAUCACUGGGCUUAAAGCGUGUGUAGGCGGGUUGGUAAGUAUCUUGUGAAAUCCCACGGCUUAACCGUGGAAUUGCUGGGUAUACUGCCGAUCUUGAGUCAUCUAGAGGUAACCGGAACAGAUGGUGGAGCGGUGAAAUGCAUAGAUAUCAUCUGGAACGCCAAUGGUGCAGACAGGUUACUGGGGAUGUACUGACGCUGAGGCACGAAAGCCAGGGGAGCAAACGGG
Molecule: ribosomal RNA, 253 nt
Filed under: uncultured bacterium
Lineage: Bacteria
Description: partial 16S ribosomal RNA
Rfam family: Bacterial small subunit ribosomal RNA
Source: RNAcentral